This 324-nucleotide ribosomal RNA is filed under the name uncultured eukaryote. RNAcentral describes it as "partial 18S ribosomal RNA". It matches the Rfam family "Eukaryotic small subunit ribosomal RNA", at positions 1470 to 1796 of the family's 1831-position model. The record is from RNAcentral.
CCCUUAGAUGUUCUGGGCUGCACGCGCGCUACACUGAUGCGAUCAACAAGUUUUUCCUAUGUCGAUAGACACGGGUAAUCUUUUGAACUCGCAUCGUGAUGGGGAUAGAUUAUUGUAAUUAUUAAUCUUCAACGAGGAAUUCCUAGUAGGUGCAAAUCAUCAGUUUGCAUCGAUUACGUCCCUGCCCUUUGUACACACCGCCCGUCGCUGCUACCGAUUGGUUGAUCUGGUGAAUUAUUCGGACUGCCGGCUGAAGGGGUUUCCUCAUCUGCCAGCGGAAAGUCUUGUUAACCCUAUCAACUAGAGGAAGCAGAGGUCGUAACA